This is a long non-coding RNA of Mauremys mutica (yellowpond turtle), 631 nucleotides long. RefSeq lists it as uncharacterized. The record is from RefSeq and is a predicted model, not a curated record. The transcript is spliced from 3 exons. Lineage: Eukaryota; Metazoa; Chordata; Testudines; Geoemydidae.
UGAAAACUUCCAGGGGAAAUCAGUAUCUGGUGGUGGUGGUAGAUUCCUUUUCCGGAUGGAUGAAGGCGAUUCAUACCCGGAACCAUACUGCACAGACUAAGAAACUAUGGGAAGUUGUUUUUAGCAGAGAUAAAAGGGGAAUGUCCAACUGCACAGGAGGAUAUCCCAACCAGAUCCUGGAUUGGGAGUGUGGACACGGUAGAAGAAUACCAGAGCUCGAGCAAAGACAGAAGAGUUUAGCAAAGGCGCUUGGGGUAGUAUAGUCAGAGGCACUGGACAAUAUUCUUCAGAAUAAUGGCCAAGACCUCAACACAAGAAGGGUGCAAAAGUGGAACCAGACAAAAGAAAAAAGUUUGCAAAGAAUGAAGAUUGAUUUUAAAGUAAAAGUUCUAACACCAUCAGAAAUCCCAAUGAUUAGGGGAAAAUGGGAAAGUCGAUGGCACCCUGAAGGGUGGGAUAUGGUUUCUGUUUUUUAUGUUUUGUGAGUAUUUGGGGAAGCUUAGGGGUACAAAGAUACACACAUGGGAGCACCUCUAAAGUGCAGGUAUGGAUUAAAGAGGAAAAUAUGUUCAACCACCCAUGGGACACAAUGGGGAAAAUGGGACCAAACAAAACCACAUGUGAGGGGAAA